RNAcentral lists this long non-coding RNA (999 nucleotides) under Monodelphis domestica (gray short-tailed opossum). RNAcentral describes it as "lncRNA (ENSMODG00000044413.1)". Lineage: Eukaryota; Metazoa; Chordata; Mammalia; Didelphimorphia; Didelphidae. The record is from RNAcentral.
GUCUGAUGGAGGAAAUAAAGCCUUUUCUUCUCCUGGAAAAGUGCAGUGGAGCGCGAUGGUGACUAGCUCAGUGCACUCCCGAGAGGCGGGGAGCUGUCCUUAUCAAUUCAAGCUCAUUUCCCCCACCCUGGCCCUCCCCGCUCUCCUGGUUCUCAAACUGUUGGCUGCUCCUUCCGCCACUCAGUUUUGCUAAUCUAGCAAAGAUGCUUUGAAACCUGGCGGAGGUUACCUCCCGCCCCCUAGAAGUUUAGCGUUCUCCACUUGGAUCAUAGUUAGCACCUGGGCUGUCCUAGGUUGGGGGGAGGGGACCCUUGUCCUGGCGUUUCUUUCUCUUGGGCAGAAGGCGCUGUCGCUUUAACUCUGUUAACUACGUGAAGUUCAAGUUAGAAGCUGGGCUGAGGAGAAAGAGACCCUCUGUGCCCACAUCCCGCUCCAAAGAGCGCUGCUGUUACUGCUGUUGCUGCUGCUGCUGCCGCUGCUGCCGCCGCUGCCGCCGCCGACACCCGUCAGAGGGAUCCCACAGAGACCUGCUCCUUCCAUUGCAGAUCACUCUGUCCUGGCACCCGCACUUGAGCUCCUUCCUUUUCACUAGAGACUGGGAAUUCUUCGAACCACUUUUAAUGCCCAGUUCCAGGAGUGAGAAUCAAACCACAGGAAAAGCAUCUGCUGUUUUACAAAACAUAACCUUUCAACUUUGGGGUACAUCUGAUUGGAAAGGCAGCCAUGUCCAGCUUACAGUUUUGACUCUAAGCAUUGACAACUGAAGCUGGGAGAUUUCUGCCACUUUGGUUCUGCCAUGGACUAAGGUGCAUUUUAGUAGAGGACAUGUUCUCCAGACUUUAUCUCAUGAUGUAUUGCACCCUUUCAUUUAUAGCCCUGUACUUCUGUUGUCAAGGGAGAAAAAAGAAAGGAAAGGCAUGCCCUUGAAUGAAAUACAGAUGAAAGAAGACUGGGCAGCAAUUAAAUAAAGUUUUGGUCCCUGAUAAAUUUGGAAAUGUG